This 465-nucleotide ribosomal RNA is filed under the name uncultured bacterium. RNAcentral's name for it is "partial 16S ribosomal RNA". It matches the Rfam family "Bacterial small subunit ribosomal RNA", at positions 28 to 507 of the family's 1533-position model. The record is from RNAcentral.
GACGAACGCUGGCGGCGUGCUUAACACAUGCAAGUCGUACGGUAAGGCCCUUUCGGGGGUACACGAGUGGCGAACGGGUGAGUAACACGUGAGUAACCUGCCCACAACUUUGGGAUAACGCUAGGAAACUGGUGCUAAUACUGGACAUGUGCUCCUGCUGCAUGGUGGGGGUUGGAAAGCUCCGGCGGUUGUGGAUGGACUCGCGGCCUAUCAGCUUGUUGGUGGGGUAGUGGCCUACCAAGGCGGCGACGGGUAGCCGGCCUGAGAGGGUGACAGGCCACAUUGGGACUGAGAUACGGCCCAGACUCCUACGGGAGGCAGCAGUGGGGAAUAUUGCACAAGGGGCGCAAGCCUGAUGCAGCAACGCCGCGUGCGGGAUGACGGCCUUCGGGUUGUAAACCGCUUUCAGCAGGGACGAAGCUUUUUGUGACGGUACCUGCAGAAGAAGCACCGACUAACUACGUG